Molecule: long non-coding RNA, 1612 nt
Filed under: Ananas comosus (pineapple)
Lineage: Eukaryota; Viridiplantae; Streptophyta; Magnoliopsida; Poales; Bromeliaceae
Description: long non-coding RNA (ACOM_LNC019039)
Source: RNAcentral
CCAAAUUAAGUGUACCUUCCCAAUCUUCUCCUAUUUUUUUUGUUAAAAAAAAUAGUAACCUAUCUGUCCAAUUCAUUUUUUUAAUAAAAUAAUUAAGUUUUAAAUUUGAGAAUAAAUACGACUAUUCAAAUUCCACCCACUUUAACUAUUAUUGUCCAAUAGAAUUCUUUUUUUUUUUCUAGUCAAAAACUAAGGUCAAUAUAUGCAAAAAUUUUGAAAAUAAAGUGUCCAAAUUGAAUGCAAAAGAAUCAAACUGCUAUAAGGGGGUAGUACACGGACCAUUUCUUAUAUUGUUACAUUGAAUAAAAUAGCGUGAUAUUUUGGGGUGUAAAUGCGGUACGCGUAGCGGGGACUUAAAAUAGAAGCUGGGGUAAAGCUGGAUUCGCGGAGGGAUAAUAAGAUGAAUAAUAAUUGCGGUAAUUAAAAAAAGGAGUAUGCUGACUCAGCGGUGGCGUGGAGGCCCCGUCGCGGAUAAGGACGUGUUGUGGGCCCCCUGGGUGACGUGGAUCCUAGUCAACUACGCCGAGGUGGACGCCGAGGAAUCGGGGAAGCGUUCUUUUCUCUGUAAUGACUAAAAAUAGCGAAUAAAACACGUGGUUAGUGAGCUUUGCUGUGGGAGCGUCGGUGAAAUACUAUGGAAACUAAUCAACUAGCUAAUUAAAAUUUGUCCAGUAAAAAAUAUAUUAUAUAUUUUUUAAAUUUUUUUUUCCAACUCUAUAUCGUUUUCUCUUAUUUAAAUAAGCUUUCACCGUCGAGUGAUUUCUCUUAAAAAAAAUAUAAUAAAAGAACAGAGUUGGUGAGCUAUAGUUAGUCAUAAUUAUUUUUCUAAAACAAUAUUUUUUUAUAAAUAAAAAGAAUAAAUUCUUUACCACUUGCACUGAAAAAUAUCGGUGAUAAUUAUUAUUUCUAUUGAAAUUUUGUUUGGGAAGAGAUGAGUGCCCCGAUUUUUCAGAAUUUGGUCGAAACUUUUGCGAUCUAAGUGGAUUCCAAUUCGAGGUACAGGGUUAUCGGUAUUAAAUACUACGCAUUCGAUGAAUAAAGGUUUUCUUAACGGGCACAAUAUUCAACCCUUGAGAUGAAUUUGGAGUAGCGGUAGUUUUUUCUAUUUAUACUGAAGAUAAAGUAGUUUAGUUUCAUUUUUCACUUACAGUCAUGAGUAAAAAUAAUUUUAGCAGCUUUAACUGUACGUAGUAGUCGAAAUCUCAGUAAUUACACACUCUCCUAACAUUUCAAUCAUCUCCGUUUGGUUGGGGUUAAGGGGUGGAAUAACCCCUUAACCCCUAUUUUAUUUCCCAACAUUUUUAAAAAUGGGUGGGGUUAGCUAACCGUACCUCAAAUGGGUUAUUCCGGAUUAGCUAAUCCCACCUAACCCCACCAAACUCCAACCAAAUAUUAUUUUCUAUUCAUAAUAAUCUACUAUUCUUCUUGUCCCACAUAUUCCAACCAAAUAUUAUUUUUCACUAUCCUGAACUAACUCCAAUCUCCAACCAAAUACAAAAAUACUCUAACCACACCUUAACUCUAAACUUAAUCCUAUCACUGGAAUAACUAGUUUUUCCUUAACUCCGAACCAAACGGUAGCUCCAGAAUCAACCGAAUAUAAUCGAUCUAA